This is a long non-coding RNA of Phacochoerus africanus (Common warthog), 608 nucleotides long. RefSeq lists it as uncharacterized. The record is from RefSeq and is a predicted model, not a curated record. The transcript is spliced from 3 exons. Lineage: Eukaryota; Metazoa; Chordata; Mammalia; Artiodactyla; Suidae.
GCCGCGCGGCGCCUGCGCGGGCAGCAGAGAGAAGAGUGAGGACGUGAAGGAAGGGGUUCUGGCGAGGAUCACGCCCCUUAAACCUUUCCUCCUUCCUCACCUCGGUCCCUCCCUCGAGGUCCUCUGAGUUGCCCGCCCCCUGCUGGAUGCCAGCAAUGACAUAAACACGGCCAGGGUGAACAGGUGUUUUCUUGUUUACCGACAUUCUGGAGUAAAUCCGUUCCCCAGCCUACAGCAGGGGCUCGGCAGUCUGAGAAGAGCUUGCGUUCAUUUUUCUCCUCCUCACCCGCAGGAGACCCCAUUCUACAAGGCUCAUGUGUGAUGGCCGCGUCCGGAGGAUGGGGUGCUGUGACGGAGGAUGUGGCUGGGGAUGGCUGGAGGUUAAAAAGAACGGUGGGCGAACGUGGGAGAGAGAGAAACCACUGCUGAGCCGCCAUCGUUCACUAGCGCCACCUCUAGCUCGCUGAGCUCCAGCCGAAGGAGAAGGGGGGAAGUGAGCUAACAUGUCUCAAGCAGCCAUAAAGGGCCUGCAUGGAACUGAGACCUCAGUUAAAAUCAACCAACUUGGAGUUCCCGUUGUGACACAAUGGAAACAAAUCCGACUAGUA